GCAAUACAAAGUUCUCCUUUAUGACCCAGCAGAUCUUGAGUUACAAAAUUUGGAUAAUGAAGCUUCUUCAAAAUGUUUUCCACUCUUUCCUUCUGCACCUUUAUUUCUGAAAGAAAAAAAGAAAAGAGAGUUAUACUUAUUUACAAGAGCCUUUAAACCAAGAACUGCAGAGGAUCAGCCUAAUCCUCUAUAGUUUAUGGCAAGAGAAUUCAUGGCACCAGAGGAGUUAUUUGGGGUGCCUCCAUUGCCUCUUUUGGAUUUUUAGGAGAAACUGGUUGUCGUUCUACUUCUAUUCCCCUGGCCCUACC
This 308-nucleotide long non-coding RNA is filed under the name Carica papaya (papaya). Its description in RNAcentral is "long non-coding RNA (CPAP_LNC009504)". Lineage: Eukaryota; Viridiplantae; Streptophyta; Magnoliopsida; Brassicales; Caricaceae. The record is from RNAcentral.